CAGGAUCUUCGAGAGGAGCCUGGGGCGAGGCGGACAGCUGACGCCGGGGCUGGAGGUGCUGAGCCCCAGGCAGGUCUGCAGUGCACGGCACUGCCGGGGGGACGGGGCAUGGACACACAUACCCAGUGGCCCCCAACUACCCACAAGAGCAGGGAGUGUGGCAGCUGCAGGGGUCCUCCCCACCCUGCCCCUCUGGGCACCUCCGGGUGUGCACGCAUGUUUGAGCGUGUGUGGACGUGAGUGUAUCUGUGCAUGUGUGCGAGCAUGUGCGUGUGUGUGCACGUGUGCAUGUGUGGAGUCUAUGAAUGUGUGUGUGUGAGCAUGUGUACACACGUGUGAAUGGAUGCAUAUGGGCAUACGUGAAUGUGGACUGUAUGGAUGUGUGGCAUGCGGGUGUGGGCGUGUGUGUGUGACGGUGUGGACUGUACAGAUAUGUGACGGUGUGGACUGUAUAGAUGUGUGUGUGUGUGUGACGGUGUAGACCAUAUAGAUGUGUGUGUGCAUGUGAUGGUGUGGACUGUAGAGAUGUGUGUGUGUAUGAUGGUGUGGACUAUAUGGAUGUGUGACGGUGUGGACUGUAUAGAUGUGUGUGUAUGACAGUGUGGACUGUAUAGAUGUGAGACGGUGUGGACUGUAUAGAUGUGUGUGUGUAUGACGGUGUGGACUGUAUGGAUGUGUGACGGUGUGGACUGUAUAGAUGUAUGUGUGACGGUGUGGACUGUAUAGAUGUGUGCAUGUAACAGGUGUGGACUGUAUAGAUGUGUGUGUGUGUGACGGUGUAGACCAUAUAGAUGUGUGUGCAUGUGAUGGUGUGGACUGUAUAGAUGUGUGUGUGUAUGACAGUGUGGACUGUAUGGAUGUGUGACGGUGUGGACUGUAUAGAUGUGUGUGUGUUUGUAUGACGGUGUGGACUGUACGGAUGUGUGACGGUGUGGACUGUAUAGAUGUGUGUGUGUUUGUAUGACGGUGUGGACUGUACGGAUGUGUGACAGUGUGGACUGUAUAGAUGUGUGUGUGUAUGACGGUGUGGACUGUAUGGAUGUGUGAAGGUGUGGACUGUACAGAUGUGUGUGUGUGUGUAUGACGGUGUGGACUGUAUGUGUGUGUUAUGGUGUGGACUGUAUGGAUGUGUGCAGGUGUGUGUGUGAGACGGUGUGGACUGUAUGGAUGUGUGCGGGUGUGUGUGUGAGACGGUGUGGACUGUAUGGAUGUGUGCGGGUGUGUGUGUGAUGGUGUGGACUGUAUGGAUGUGUGCGGGUGUGUGUGAUGGUAUGGACUGUAUGGAUGUGUGUGGGUGUGUGUGUGUGAUGGUGUGGACUGUAUGGAUGUGUGGGCAUGCGGGUGUGGGUGUGCACGCACACCUGCUUUCACAUUGCACUGUGUGCCCGCCAGAUCAGGAAACAGGCUGGAGUGAAGGUGCUGGCUGCUCAAAGCCCCUGCAGAGGCU
This 1447-nucleotide long non-coding RNA is filed under the name Homo sapiens (human). RNAcentral's name for it is "HSALNT0395700". The record is from RNAcentral. Lineage: Eukaryota; Metazoa; Chordata; Mammalia; Primates; Hominidae.